GAUGAACGCUGGCGGCGUGCCUAAUACAUGCAAGUCGAGCGAACAGACGAGGAGCUUGCUCCUCUGACGUUAGCGGAGGACGGGUGAGUAACACGUGGAUAACCUACCUAUAAGACUGGGAUAACUUCGGGAAACCGGAGCUAAUACCGGAUAAUAUAUUGAACCGCAUGGUUCAAUAGUGAAAGACGGUUUUGCUGUCACUUAUAGCUGCAUCCGGGCCGCAUUAGCUAGUUGGUACGGUAACGGGCUACCAAGGCAACGAUGCGUAGCCGACCGGAGGGGGUGAUCGGCCACACGGGAGCUGGGACACGGUCCAGGGGCCUACGGGAGGCAGCAGUAGGGAAUCGUCCGCAAUGGGCGAAAGCCUUACGGAGCAACGCGGCGUGAGUGAUGAAGGUCUUCGGAUCGUAAAACUCUGUUAUGAGGGAAGAACAAAUGUGGAAGGAACUAUGCACGGCUUGACGGUACCUAGUCAGAAAGCCACGGCUAACUACGUG
RNAcentral lists this ribosomal RNA (497 nucleotides) under uncultured bacterium. RNAcentral describes it as "partial 16S ribosomal RNA". It matches the Rfam family "Bacterial small subunit ribosomal RNA", at positions 28 to 507 of the family's 1533-position model. The record is from RNAcentral.